RNAcentral lists this non-coding RNA (128 nucleotides) under unclassified sequences. The record is from Rfam by way of RNAcentral.
CAGACGCAUUACGAGCAGGACGGGCGAAAGCCGAACCUGCACCAACCGAGCCCCCAAGGGCCGCGGUGGUUAUCGGAGCCGAAAGGCGCCGAGAUGAGAGCCGAAAGGCUAAAAACACAGUCCCUCGU